GAUAGCACAAGGCAUGAUUUCAUAUGAGAAUAUUGGAGACAAGGACAAAACUUUGAUGGAAAUUGCCGAGCUCUACUUGGGUGAGUUGGCCUCCAGGUCCAUCGUCCAACUUGAAAUUAAUUACGGCGAUGCUGUCACAAGUGGAAGAAAAUAUAGGAGCUGCAAACUUCAUGAUGUAGUAAGAGAACUAUGUUUGAAAUUGGGGAGAAGUGAGGAUUUUGGUGCUCAGAGUUUGGAGUAUCAAAGUGGGAAAGCUUCCUCGCAUAGGAAAAUACGGCAUUUGGCUAUACAUUUCAGGAAGGAAGUUCAAGUGGAACCUGACGAGCUUACACUCACUUGGGGAGAAGAUAGUAGUGAACAUUUAAGGUCUCUUCAAAUGUUCAGUCACAUAAAUUCGGGUGUUGUUGAGUUUCCCCCGCAAGGUAUUGUUGAUUUUCAGAAAUUCAAAUUGCUGAGAGAUCUAGGUAUGGUGGGAUUCAAAUUUGAAGGAAGAAAGUUAUCGAAAGGAAUCACUAGUCUUGUUCACCUUAGACGUUUGUGUUUAGAAAAAUGUGAAUUUGAUAAGCUACCAUUGUCCAUAAGGAAUUUGAUAUACAUGGAUACCCUUGAUUUAAGUUAUUCGAUGAAUGUUGGAGUUCCAAAUGUUUUUAAGGAGAUGGUACGUUUAAAGCACUUGUUUCUUCCCAAUUAUGAUGAGGAAAAAAUUGGAAGUUAUCGAUUGACAUUGGACGAGGGAGUGAUUGAGUUGGAGACCCUGUGGAAUUUGGAUAGUCGAGUGCAUGACUUAAAAUGUAUGAACAGAAUGAAGAAUCUGCGAACUUUCUCAACAAAAAUAUACGACAACGAAAGCUUGUCAGCCAUCAUCGACGUCAUUGCUCUCAUGGAAAUGUUACAGCAUUGUUGGGUUGGAAUCAAAAAGGGUUGCGAGUUAGGAACAAAUAAGGGAGUGUUAACGCUGAAGAAGGUAAUCACAUGUCCCAAUCUUGAUUCCUUAUGGAUUGAAGUUAAGUUAGGGAAGGCGCUGGCACUGGCAGAGUGCGGGAGUGACUUCAUCAGUUCAAAACUUUUAAGUUUGGUCCUGUCAGAAUGUGAGAUUGAGGAUGAUCCAAUGGGGAUACUGGGGAAGCUUCCUUGCUUGAUAGAGUUGUAUUUAGACAAUGAAUCAUUUGUGGGGAGGAGAUGAUGUGUCCAUCAAACAGUUUUCCUCGCCUCAAGAAGCUUAGUGCUCGUUUGGUUCAAGUAGAGGAAUGGAAAGGGAAUGGAAUCAAAUAAAGGAGUGGAAUGGUAACAAUAACCAUUACUUUUAUUGAGUGUUUGGUUUAACAAUGGAAAUGAAUCAUUAGUAAGGGAUUCUCUUUCAUUUGUUUCCCCUCUAUUUUGAGGGGUAACAAAUUGGGUGAUUGGGUUACCCUCAAGUAAGGGUAAUGAUUAUCUUAUUAUCCAAACCAAACAACAAAUAAUGGAUUCAAUUACUUUAUUCCCUUUCCAACCUCUAAAAACACUCAACCAACGUGGGCUUAGUUUAUAUCUAUUACCAAAGUUGAGGGAGUGGAGAGUGGAGGCAGGAGCCAUGCCCCUUCUCUCUCAAUUACAAAUAGAUGAGUGUUCUAAUCUGGAGAUGCUUCCAGAUGGAUUGAGUCUCAUUUCCACUCUUCAGGAACUAGAAAUUAUUGAUAUGCCAGAAUUGGGAAAAAGGGUAUCAACAUCAGGAGAGGAUUUCCACAAAGUCAGCCAUGUCCUUUCAAUUAUCAUCUGAGACAAUUGAUGACUAACUAGUCUAGUUUCCACCCAGGUAAUGCUUGCACCAAUUAAUCUCAUUCUCAAUUCACAAUUCUGUUGCUUCAAUUUUAGUUUUUCUCUAAAAGAUAGGUAUCUCGAUAAGGUUUUAACUUUAAAGCUCGACUCAUUCUAAACUUGUAUCGUCUUGGUUUUUGUUGCAGGGCUUGUUGUUCCAUGUCCCAAGUAUUUCUCUUUAAUUAUUUGCAAUCUUUUCUCUCCUCCCUUGUUUCGCUUUAAUCACUUUUUAAAAAAUAAAUGUGUAUAUUUUUAUUAAUCUGGUUGAAUUUGGUGAUUCUGGACAAUUUAUACUUGCUUAUUUCCAUAUGGAGUUAUUUUGGUAAGAUUCAGUCCAUGAGCCUUUGUUUAUAAUUUCUGGAGAUUUAAGCUUUAUUUAUUUCAGUUCUUGAAUUGUGUUUUUUGUUGCUUGGUUGUUUAGAAUCCAAUAAAUUGAAAACUGGGUUGAUUAAUAUGAACAUGCUAUAAUAAUGAUAGUGUGUGUUUUGAAUAGAUGGAUAUAAAAUCCCGAUUGGUAUACGUAAUUCUUAGCUCAAAAUUCUUCGACUAGUAUCUCUACUGCAGAUGGUUUUGAUUAAGCAAGAAAAAUUGGAUUAGGUUAAUGAUAUUGUUGAAGGAAAUGUAGCGAAGCAGACUUGUGGCGCCUACCUGCUCAACACUAAUUUUAAUUAAAAGUUUUUUCAGUAGGUACUUAUUAGGCUAUGUUCAACUACUCAUAAUUAUGUUAACGAAAUAAGCAUAUUGAAAAAUCAAGAUUUGGCAUUGUAAAAAGAGACAUGCAUGCAUGCCAAAAAAAUAUGAUGAAAUUCUCUGUCCAUAUAUGCCCGAUAUCAUCUGUGAUUCCCUAUUAAUUUAACUAAUUUAAUAAUAUUUAUUAUAAAAUAAAUAAAUAUUAUAUUGUACUAAUCUCAGAAUAAUAAUGACAUAUUAUCGGAUUUAAGGUCCAAAAGAUUAACGAAAAUGCCCCAAAUAUACCUCUAACUAUACUGAAUAAAAUAGGUUCUAUAAAUAGAAUUAUUCAUACUUUCAUUUAUCAGCCCAAUUGCAAAGAUGAGUCCAGCCCAAUUUCAUUCUCUCUCUUCCACUCCCUCUAAAAUGGGCCCAUUCCUUAAUUAAGAGAUCCAACAAACAUAAAUUCGGCCCACAAAUUACCACCACUUCAAUUUAUGUUACGAAAUCCCAUAAUAUGAAGAUAUCGAGAAAUUAAAUAUAGUCGAGGAAGACAAUGUCUAGAAUGUUGAUGAUCCAUUUUAAUAUCAAGUGACUUGUGUGUUAUUGAGAGCUGUAGUUUAAUCCCCAAAUAUCCAUCUCUAAGCUAAAAAGCCAAACAAUAAAUAUACCUCAUCAAAGGUAUAGUAUCUAGAGUUCAUUACUAAUUAAGGAUGGGGCAUGUUUGGUCUUGGUGUUACACCGUUGAUAUGUGCUCAAUAUCAACGGUGUUAAAGAGCAAAUUUUUUCUUGAAAUAUCAUGACUAGCCACAGAUAUUAAAAUAAUAAUAAAUAAUAAUAAAAAAAACACAUAUAUUGCACCACUUCAUCAUUCUUGUGGGGUUAAUGUUGGAAUAAAUGGCUUAAUUAGUCCAUAAUUACAUUGUAAUUAAUGGAAUUAAAUGGCAUAUUUGGAAUCUACAUUUUGAGUAGAGGUAUAUUUACUUGUUCAAAUCUAUUAAGAAUUGAAUGAGUAAUUAAAUGCCAAAAGGUAGCCAUUGAAAAUGGAAAUGUGGAGGGAUGUGGAGGGUCAUCCCACAUUGGAAAAAUAAGGAAGUUGGAAGCUAUUUAUAAAGUGCUCUCCACCAUAAAGGAACAAUCAAGUGUGCUUCUCUAUGGUGGACUUAUGGUGCACCCAAGUGGGUUUUUGACUUAGCCUUUUAAGGCUAAAACUCAAUUCCUACGAGGAAGGUGCGAAGCACCUUCCGAGUCCGAGGCCGAGGCCGAGCACGUGCUUGUCGCAAUGGGCGCUUUGUAGGCGCACUUUGCACUUCGCUCGUUCGCGUCGUCGCGAGGAGCCUUUAGUUUUGACAAAUGAAACGGUGGCUCGUGUGACGUGGCAGUGACGUGGAAACAUGUGGCUCGGUGACGUGGCACCGCGUGGCGGAUAAGGAAUCUGGGUGGNUUAUUAUAUUUAUGGAUAAUUGAUAGUAGUAUAUGAUAAUAUUAUGAGUUUAAGAUUUAGAGUUUUGAUAAGGAAUUUUUGUUCUACUAGAGAUUUCUUUACAUUGUUUUAAUUAAUGAGGUUUGCCCCAGAAUCUUUAAUUUAUUUGUAAUUUUUACACGAGAUUUUAAACUUUAUUUCUUUUCUUGAAUUGUCACUGAAUUCUCGCCGAUCCCUUGAAAGAUGAUUUUGCUUGCUACUGUCUACGCAGUAAGGGCAUACCGAUUGUUUGUCGGGUAUUUUUGGUGUAAAACGACGCACCACAUAUGUUCACUUAUAUAAAAGUUAACUAUCCAAAAAAACACCAUUUCUUGGCCAAGAUUCAAUCCUCAUAUUACGAUAUCUCACUAUUAUCUUCCUUAAGGAACCGAACACCAUCUAAGUUUGCUCAUAAAUAAUUCUUAUUAUCAGCAAAUAUUCAAUCAAAAUGACAGACAGAAAAGCAUCUUUUGUUUUCCUUACAAAAAAAACUAUUCUGCUCCAUACUUCAAUAUGUUGACUGCUUACAAACAAACUGCAAGUUGGGAUUUUACUUACAGACAAUAAAAUUAUUAUAAUAAUUAAUAUAAAGACAAGUUGGCUUUUCUGAAACGCGUAUACAAUGUCCCAAAAAUCUAUCAUUAUAUUGGUUUCGAAGUCAUUUAAAUCGAUAAACAUAGAUUUCUUAUUAGAAUUUUAAUUACUCUUCAACAGCUAAUAGUAGGGUAUGAACGACGAAAUAUAUUGUAUCUGCCAUUCUAAUUAAGCUAAAAACCAAAAAGUAAAAACAUACCUCAGCAUAGUUAUCUAGAGUUCGUUACUGUUGAUAUGUGCUCAAUAUUUGGCUUAGAAAAUGUCAUGAAUAAUAUUAAUUUGUUUACAUGUCAUAGCUAGCUCUAGACAUUUCUUAAAACGUAAUAUAUGUCAUAACUUAGCAAAAGGUGACAGGAAACUACCAUCUUAUGAUGUUUAGUUCAUAUCAUAGGCUAAAUUAUUGUAUUAAUAACAUUAAUAAACUCUUAUUGGCUUAAAGCGCCUUAAUUACUCACAACAAUUCAUUAUGCCAGCUAAUGAUGAAUCACCUUAUCAUUUUUUAUACCAUAUUAUUGAGUUAAUUAAGAUAAUGUGCUUUCUCAUAAGCUAAACUACUUUCACACUUUUCCCCACCAACGACAGUCAAACCUCUCCCUUUUUCCUCACACAACUCUCCAAGAACUAAUUUCUCUGUUCCAGAAUCAAAAUCCUUUGCAAUCUCCAUUGAAGAACUUGUAUUCACAACAACGAGUUCCUUAUCCUUAUUCCUCUACACACACUCUCACCAAUAGUAAAUCAAUUUGACCAAGAAAUUCGAGUUUGGAAUUGUUGCGAUGGCAGAAGCAGUGGUGUCGACUGCUCUGGAAACCUUGCGCGAUUUGUUGUUGGAAGAAGCAAGGUUUUUAUAUGGUGUGGGCGAUGAAGUGAAGGAGAUCGAGUGGCAGCUCAAAGAGAUGAAGUGUCUCCUUAAAGAUGCCGAUAGAAGACGACAUGAAAGCGAAACCAUAUUCAAUUGGAUCUCGGAGGUCAAAGAUCUUGUGUACAGAGCGGAAGCUGCCAUUGAAAGACACGCAGCUUAUCAAGUGUUGUCAAGGAGAAGACGAGGUCUCAGACAGCUCGUCCGCAAAUGUAGUUGCAGUCUGCAAAAAUACAAGUCAAUCCACCAACUAGGCUCGGAGAUUUCACCGAUCAAAUCCCGACUUGAAAGGAUAAACAAGGAAAUGUUAGAAAGUGGCAUAAAGAAGAGCAUCAUCAACAAUACAGAUGAAGGGGAAAGCUCGUCCGCCAACAACAGAGCAAGGAAGAGCUUCCCCGAAUUCGAGAUCGGAGACUGUUUGUGGAAAUGAAGGACGAGCUCAAGCAGCUUCGUAAUCUCCUCGGGCAAGACAACGAGGAUCGAGUUAUUUCAGUGUGGGGAAUGGGGGGGUCAGGCAAGACCACCAUUGCCAAAAAGCUCUACAACGAGAACAACACCAGCUUUGAUCUUUGCGCAUGGGUUUGCAUUACUCAGCAAUGUCAGAGUUUUCAAUCAGUAUUGGAGGAUGUUCUGAAGCAGUUAGAGCAUCAAAACAGGAAGGAUGGACCACAGAUAACGGGGGACGUUUCUAGUCUGAGCAACUCAGAGUUGAUUGAACGACUAUCCAAGAUACAAAGAGAUAAGCGAUGCCUCAUUGUUUUUGACGAUCUAUGGAGACUUUCUGAUUGGAAUGAGUUGAAGCAUCCAUUCCUUGUCCAGCAUCUGCAAAGCAAAAUAUUGAUCACCACUCGCGAACAGAAAGUUGCAGAGAUUGGAUCAUGCCCUGUAAAACUUGGGCUUCUAAAAGAGGAACAUGCUUUGGAACUACUUAAGAAGAAAGCAUUUCCCCAUACCAACAUUCCAGGACAAUGUGUCUAAGAAAUAAUACAUGUUUGUAGGGAUGUCAAUCGAGACUGAGUAAGUUAUAAGUUGUGUAGUACUAUUCAAUUAAUUAUCAUGUGUUAUUUCAAUACAGACUUUGCAUUGGAAGAAAAUUUUGAGAAAAUUGGGAAACAAAUGGUGCAGAUGUGUGGGUAUUUGCCGUUAACAAUUUCUUUACUCGGUGGGGUCUUGAGGAAGAAAAAUUCGAUGAUGGAAUGAGAGUUAGUAAAUAAGGAUAUCAAAAAACACAUAUAUAGAGAUGAAAGUGAGAUUGAUGGAGUGCUAAAUUUAAGCUAUGAAAGUCUACCCUAUUAUUUGAAGUCUUGCUUUCUCUAUAUGGGUUUAUUUCAAGAGGAUGAAGAUAUAGAUGUUGACGAUCUAUAUAUUAGAUGGAUAGCACAAGGCAUGAUUUCAUAUGAAAAUGUUCGAGACAAGGACAAAACUUUGAUUGAAAUCGCGGAGCUCUACUUGGGUGAGUUGGACUCCAGGUCCAUCGUCCAAGUUCAAAUUCACGACGGUGUCACACCUGGAAGAAAAUAUAGGAGCUGCAAACUUCAUGAUGUAGUAAGAGAAGUAUGUUUGAAAAUGGGGAAAAGGGAGGAUUUUGGUGUGCUGAGUUUGGAGUAUCAAACUGGGAAACUAAUUAGUACCUUACUACGACAAGCUUCUUCUGAUAUGAAAAUACGACAUUUAGUUAUCCAUUUUAGGAAAAAAGUCGAAUUGGAACGUGACGAGCUUGGAGAAGAUAGUAGCAAACGUUUAAGGACUCUUCAAAUGUUCAAUCACAGUAAUUUUGUUGAGCUUCCCCAACAAAGUAUAGUUGAUUUUCAGAGAUUCAAAUUGCUGAGAGAUCUAUUUAUGGUGGGAUUCAAAUUUGCAGGAAGAAAGUUACCGAAAGGAAUCACUAAUCUUGUGCACCUUAGACGUUUGCGUUUAGAAGAAUGUGCAUUUGAUAAGCUACCAUCGUCCAUAAGGAAUUUGGUAUACAUGGAUACCCUUGAUUUAACUGACUCGAUGAAUGUUGAAGUUCCAAAUGUUUUUAAGGAGAUGCUACGUUUAAAGCACUUGCUUCUUCCGGAGUAUGAGGAAAAUAUUGGUAGUUAUCGAUUAACACUGGAUGAGGGAGUGGUUGAGUUGGAGACCCUAUGGGGGUUGGAUAGUAGAGUGCAUGAAUUAAAAUGUAUGAACAGAAUGAAGAAUCUGCGAAAUUUCUCAACAAAAAUACACGACAACAAAAGCUUGUCAACCAUGAUCGACGCCAUUGCUAUCAUGAUCAAGUUAGUGUUUUGUAUGGUUGAAAUCAAAGAGAAAUGCGAGUUAGGAACAAAUGAGGGAGUGUUGAACAAGGCACUCACGGAUAGGUCCAAUAUUCACUACUUGUCGAUUGAAGUUAAGUUAGGGAAGGCUCUGGCAGAGUGCGGGCGUGACUUCAUCAGCUCUAAACUUACAGAUUUGGAGCUGCGAGAAUGUGAGAUUGAGGAUGAUCCAAUGGGGAUACUGGGGAAGCUUCCUUGCUUGAUACAUUUGAUUUUAAGGAGGAAAUCAUUUGUGGGGGAGGAGAUGAUGUGUCCAUCAAACAGUUUUCCUCGCCUCAAGUUGCUUGUGCUAUCUGAAUUACCAAAGUUGAGGGAGUGGAGAGUGGAGGCAGGAGCCAUGCCCCUUCUCUCUGAAUUGGAGAUCGAUGAUUGUUCCAGUCUGAAGAUGCUUCCAGAUGGUUUGAGUGGCAUUUCUACUCUUCGGUACCUGGAGAUUACUGGAAUGCCGGAAAUGGGGAAGAGGAUAUCGGCAUCAGGAGAGGAUUUCCACAAAAUCAGCCAUGUCCCUUCAAUUAUCAUAAAAAACUAUUGAUGAUGACUAACUAAUCUAGUCUCCACCCGGGUAAUGCUUGCACCAAUCUCCUUCUCAAUUCCCAAUUAUGUUGCUUCAAUUUUAGUUUUUCUUUAAAAGAUAGGUAUCCUGAUAAGGUUUUAACUAUAAAGCUCGACGCAUUCUAAACUUGUAUCGUCUUUCUUUUGGUUGCUGGCUACUUUUCUCCCCCCCUUCGAGCUACAGUCUUGUUGUUCCAUGUCCCCAAGUGUUUCUCUUUAAUUAUUUGCAUUAUUUUCUCUGCUUCCUUGGUUUGCUUUAAUCACUUUUUUUAAAAAAAAUAAAUGUGUAUGUUUUUAUUAAUAUGGUUGAAUUUAAUUGGUGAUUCUGGACAAUUUAUUCUAGACUUGCUUAGUUCCAUAUGGAGUUAUUUUCGUAAGAUUCAGCCCAUGAGCCUUUGUUUAUAAUUUAUGCAGAUUUAAGCUUUAUUUCAGUUCUUGAAUUGUGAUUUUUGUUACUUAGUUGUUUAGAAUCCAAUAAAUUGAAAAUUGGGUUGCUUAAUAUGAAUGGUAGUGCAUGGUUUGAAUUGAUGGAUUUAAAAUCACGAUUGGUAAACGUAAUUCUUAGCUCAAAAUUCUUCGACUACUAUUUCUCUUGCAGAUGAUUUUACCGUUGAUUAAGCAAGAAAAAUUGGUUUAGGUUAAUGAUAUUGUUGAAGGAAAUGAAGCUGCACCAGCUGCUUUAGUAGGCCUCUUUUUCGGGUGAAAUGUAGGAAGCAUAUAGGUGAGACCUUUACACCAUACAAAAAUAAUAAAUAUAUUACUCCCUCUAUCUCAAUAAUAACGUCCCAAAUUUUCUUUUUGGGCGUCCCAUUUAUAAUAUCACAAUCCAAAAAAAAAAUAUAUAUAUUUUAUCUACUCUUUCUAUUUUUCUCCUCGUUUACUUUAUCUAUCUCUUACUUUUUUCACUAUUCUAUUUAUCUAUCUCUCCUUAUUUACUUUAUCUCUCUCUUACUUUUUUACUACUCUAUCUGUCUCUCUCUUCAUUUACUUUAUCUAUCUCUUACUUUAUCUGCAUUUUCUUAAUUAAUUUGUGUGUCCCAUUUUUUUAGUACAUUUCUUUACUCUGUGGCAAUUCUCAAGCUCUAACUCAUUCAUUAUUGUUGAUUUACUGGUUGAACAUUGGUUUAUGGAGAGUUACUUAUCAUCACUACCACUUUUGGUGCUCAGAGAAAUUAUAACAUUUUACCUUUUGUUUAGAGGGUAUAUUAUGUUCCUCAGUAAGGUUUUAAUGAAGCUCAACUCAUUAUAAGAUUAUAUCAUCUUUUCAAUUAUUUGUUUUUUCUCAAGGUGCAGUCUUGUUGUUGAUUUCUCAGGUGUUCCUCCUGUCAUACCAGACGGUGAACUGAGGCUCUGAAUCAAGAGGUUUUCAAAUUUCUGGAGCUUUUAUGCUUUAUUUUCUUGAAUUGUGACUUUUGCUGCUUGGUUGUUUAGAAUCUAAUAAACUGAAAAUUGGGUUUGUUAAUAUGAAUAAUAUUAGUAGUGUUGUGGCUUGAUUUGAUGGAUUUAAAAUUACGAUUGGUAUAUGUGAGGAAUAUUUGCCUUAAUUUAAGCUGAAGGAAUCAGGAUUCGAAGGUGACAACGAGCGGAGGACCUCUAGUGCAAAUAUGAGAACACCGAGGGAGUUAGUUGCAAAUGUUUCUAAUAAGGAUGCAUUACAUCUCGACCGUUCAAUGCUUUCAACGGAUGAGAUUAGAUCUCAUCAAAUGUUAGUUUUAAUAGAAUAGCUGCAACAGUUCUUCUUCUUCGAAGUCCGCCUGAAUACUUUUCUGCACAUUGUAAUCAAAGUUCGUUUGUGACCAACAAAAAUCGUCUUUCUCUUGGCCCGUUAAUGUGUUUAUUUUAAUUGUUCAUAUUCUUGGAAUUUAUUUGAUUGUUUAUAAUUUAAUUAUGAGUAGCUAAAUUCUUCGGCGAGAAUAAUGAAAUACUGAAUUAUGAGUAUCUUCCGUGUAUCAUAAUUAUGAUUAUUGGAGAGUGGAGGCAGGAGCCAUCCCCCUUCUCUCUCUCUCUCUUACUAUGAUUAUCUUCGUGUAUCAUAAUUCUCUGUUAUAAUCAUAAUUAUUCAAACACGUUAACAACUUAUAAGCUCUCAUUACAUUUUAAAUUAUUAAAGUUUAUAAUACAUGCAUUCUUAAACUCAUUAUGUUUUUAUUUUCAUUCAGUAAUAGCUUUUUUAUUAUUGUUGAUUUACAGGUUAAGCAUUGGGUUUCCAGAGGGUAUGUUCCUUCGAAUCUCAAUUCUCAUUCUUAAUUUACAGGUAUGUUUGCACCAAUCUCAUUCUCAAUUCCCAAUUUUGUUGCUUCAAUUGUAGUCUUUCGCUUUUAUCACGUUUUUUUAAAAAUAAAUGUGUAUAUUUCUUUUGUACGUGGCUCCAAGAAGGGACGGAGCCAGGGGGGGCUAGAGCCCCCUCCCAAUUUUUUUUUUUAAUAUAUAUAGAUAUAUGUUUAUACCUAUAAAAUAAUUUUGUUUUAUAAAAGAGUAUUUGGUUAUUAUAUUCUCUCACACAUACUUAAUUUAAAGAUAAUUUUGUUAUUUAAAACUAUAUAAUCUAUGAAAUAUUGUUUGUUAUUAUUACUAUUAUACUUGUCUUUUAAUAAAAUAUGCCUAAUAUGUAUGAAAUGCUAAAAAAAAUUAUAAUGUAUUGAAACUAAUUUGUAAUAUAUAGAAAAUAUAUAAUCUAUGAACAUGUUGUUUGUUAUUAUUAUUAUUAUGCUUGUCUUUUAAUAAAAAAUGUCUUCAAUAUACGAAAUGUCUAAAAAAAGUUUUGUGAUAUAUUGAAACUAUAUAAUCUAUGAAAAUAUUAUUCGUUAUAAUUAGUAUUAUGCUCGUAUUUUAAUAAAAAAAAAUACCUUAUAUAUACAGAAUGCCCAAAAAAAAUUCUCGGGGGCAGAACCCCCGUACAAUUUCAGCCCCCCCGAACUUAAUUCCUGGCUCCGUCCCUGGCUCCAAGCCUGACAUGGCCAUAUUCCAUUCCUCGGAAGAUUCUGGACAAUUUAUUGUAGACUUGGUUAGUUCCAUAUGGAGUUAUUUUUGUAAGAUUCAGCCCAUGAUUUCUAGAGAUUUAAGCUUUAUUUCUGUUUUUGAUGAAUUGUGAAUUUUGUUGCUUGGUAGUGGUGGUAAAAUUGUGUCUGUUUCGUAAAGUUAUUAUAAUCGGCCGAAUUGUUGGCUUUUGCAGCGUAUUUCUGCUCUCGAGUUUCGUUUCGAUUGGCCCCUGUGUUAUUAUCUUGGAAAUGGUUUGAGCUGUGCAACUAUUUAGUUACAAGGGAUUUGGAGUGAUCCCCCUGAUCGUUUUUCAGUUUUCUGGUGCGCUAGAGUCUGGGCUCGCGGGAACGAGCUUCGUUAGUGGCUACACAGUUGGAUUGACACGUGUUCGGUCUGACCGAUUUCCCACACAUUUGAUUGCUUGUGUGGCGGAUGUUGGUUUUGAAAGAUCCAACAACUAUAAAUGCAGCGCACAAAUUAUCAGGCUUAACAGCACUUCAAUUUUCAUGUUAUAAAAUUGAACUCAAAAGCCCAAUUUUGUUUUUAUAAAUUCACAAAACGAGCAUCUUGCUGGUUGGUGUUGAAGAAAUAAUUGCUGGAGCUUUCACUGUAAGUGACAUUAAUUUACUCACAACAAUUCAUUAUGCCAGCUAAUGAUGAAUCACCUUAUCAAUUUUUAUACCAUAUUAUUCAGUUUUGGUCGUCGGAGUGGUUGAGAAAUGGUGAAUUAGAUGAUGUUUAGUUCAUAUCAUAGGCUAAAUUAUGUGUAUUAAUAACAUUAAUCAACUCUUAUUGGCUUAAAGCGCCUUAAUUAAUUACUCACAACAAUUCAUUAUGCCAGCUAAUGAUGAAUCACCUUAUCAUUUUUUAUACCAUAUUCCCUUUGAAUGACGAGAGAGAAUUAUUGGGUGAAGAAGAAGAAGAAGACGAGGUAGAAACAAACAGACGCUUAUGACAAGGUUGAAUUAUUGAAUGAAGAAUUUAGUAUAAUACUUAACAAACAAACAGAAUUAGUGUAAUUGAAUGAAUCACCAGGUGGUCCCUACUAAACAAAACAUGAGGAAAUAAUCAAGAUUAUGUGGUUUCUCAGAAACUUACUCUUUUCUCAUAGAGGAAAUACUCUGUUUCACAAUCCAAAUUCCUCGCAAUCUCGAUUGGAGAAUUUGUAUUCACAACAACGAGUUCCACAUCCUUAUUUUUUUUAUAAUUGUUUAUACAUGCGAGGAUAUUCCUAAUUCAAUUCAAACAUCAAUCUGUAUAUAUCAAAUAAAUUUAUAUAUAUUUUUUUUGUAAAUAUGCAAUAUGUAAUAUGGAAAAUAUCCUUGAAAUAAAUUAUGUAAUGGGGUAAAAUAGACAAUCUAAAUUUUGUGCCCAAAACACUUUUUCUGUUAGUAUAGAUAUAGAUUAAUAUGGAUGUGGUGUUUAUAUUUUUGUACACAUUAUUUUCUGAUAUUAUCAAUCUUUUCUGAUAUUAUCAAUCGCUUUCACACUUAAUAUUUAAAAAAAAUUAUCUAACAAAUCAUUUAAAAAUUACUCCCUCCGUCAACGAAAAUACGGCCUAAAGGACGAUGAAACAAGUUUUAAGAAAACUUGUAUUGUUUAUUUAAUGAGUGGAGAAAGGGUCUAUAAAUUUAAAAAAAUGGAAAAAGUUAAUUUAGUUAGUGAGUUGGAAAGGGGCCCACAAGUUAGUCAAAUAAUUGCUAAAAAUAAGUUAUAACAUAUUUUUAUGGACGAACCAAAAUACUAAAUUAAAUUAUAUUUUCGUGAACAAAAGGAAGAGUAAACAACAAAUGAACUUUAAUUUGUUAUUUUUUCACAUUAUACAAUCUUUUAACUAUUUUGUCGGUACCAGACUUUUGGUGUACCAACAAUCUAUAUCUAUAUCUAUAUACCUAUUAUAAAAUAGCCUUGUUUUACAAAAUUUAAUUUGCCUAAUAUGUCCAUAUUUCUUAAUCUAUUUAAGGACAAUAGUGUAAUAUCAUAUUAUUAUUAUUAUUAUUCUAAUCUUGUUUUAUUUAGUUGAUUAUUGUCAUAAUAAUGAACAUAAAAGAAUUCAACUCCAAUCACAAUUCUAAACAAGUUCGAUUUUAUCUAUAUUUAUCACAUAUAAAUAUAUUAUUUAAAUCCAAGACUUAUUAAUUUUUUUAAACAAAUUUACUAUAUAAAUUCAAUAAAUUUAUAAAGAAAAACUCAACUAAGUCCUACUAAAAUCUAAUGAGGGAAAUAAUGAGGAAGAAUUAUUGAAUGAAGAAGAAGAAGACAAGGUAGAAACCAAAAAUAAGGGGAGUUAAUUAAGAUAAUGUGAUUUCUCAUAAGCUAAACUACUUUCACACUUUUCCCGCAAACGAAAGUCAAACCUCUCCCUUCUUCCUCACACAACUCUCCAAGAACUAAUUUCUCUGUUCCAGAAAAUCCAAAUUCUUCGCAACAACGAGUUCCAUAUCCUUAUUCCUCUCUCUAUAUACUCUCACCAAUACUAAAUCAGUUUGACCAAAGAAAUUCGAGUUUGGAAUUGUUGCGAUGGCAGAAGCUGUCGUGUCGACUGCUCUGGAAACCUUGCGCGAUUUGUUGGUGGAUGAAGCAAGAUUUUUAUCUGGUGUGGGUGACCAAGUGAAGGAGCUCGAGAUCCAGCUCAAAGAGAUGAAGUGUCUUCUCAAAGAUGCCGACAGAAGACGACAUGAAAAUGAAACCAUUUUCAAUUGGAUCUCAGAGAUCAAAGAUCUUGUGUACAGAGCCGAAGCUGCCAUUGAAAGACACGCAGCUUAUCAAGUGACUUCAAGGAGAAAACGAGGCCUCAAACAGCUCCUCCGCAGAUGUAGUUGUAGUUUGGAAGAAUACAAGUCGAUCCACCAAUUAGGCUCGGAGAUUUCACCGAUCAAAUCCCGACUUGAAAGGAUAAACAAGGAAAUGUUAGAAAGUGGCAUAAAGAAGAGCAUCAUCAACAAUACAGAUGAAGGGGAAAGCUCGUCCGCCAACAACAGAGCAAGGAAGAGCUUCCCCGAAUUCGAGAUCGGAGACUGUUUUGUGGGAAUGAAGGACGAGCUCAAGCAGCUUCUUCAUCUCCUAGUGGAAGACGAAAAGCAUCGAGUAAUUUCAGUGUGGGGAAUGGGGGGAUCAGGCAAGACCACCAUUGCCAAAAAGCUCUACAACGAGACCAACACCAGCUUUGAUCUUUGCGCAUGGGUUUGCAUUAGUCAGCAAUGUCAGAGUUUUCAAUCAGUUUGGAAUGAUGUUCUCAUGCAGCUACAACAUCAAAACACGAAGGAUGGGCCAAAAAUAAGGGAGGAUGUUACAAGUUUGAGCGAGUGGGAGUUGAAGGAGCGAUUAUGCAAGAUACAAAGAGAGAAGCGAUGUCUGAUUGUUUUUGACGAUCUUUGGAAAGUUUCUGAUUGGGAUGGCUUUAAGCAUCCCUUCCUUGUCCAAGAUUUGCAGAGCAAAAUCUUGAUCACCACGCGCGAACGGGAAGUCGCGGAGAUUGGAUGCCCUGUCAAACUUGGGCUUCUAAAAGAGGAAGAUGCUUUGGAACUACUCAAGAAGAAAGCAUUUCCCCACACCAACAUUCCAGGUUAGUUGGAUUUGACUUCUAGUCUACAAAUAAUAUUCUAGAUUUACCUGCUUGUAGUUUCUUUUUUGCAUCAUCGGUUCCAAAUUAGAUGAGAGGAUAUGAUUAAGUUAUAAAGUUACUAUUCAAGUAAUUGUCAUUUGUUUUUCAAUGCAGAGUUUGCAUUGGAAGAAAAUGUUGAGAAAAUUGGGAAAGAAAUGGUGAAGAAAUGUGGGUAUUUGCCGUUGGCAAUUUGUUUACUCGGUGGGGUCUUGAGAAAGACAAAUUCGAUGAUGGAGUGGAAGUUAGUCAAAGAAUUCAUAUAUAGAGAUGAAAAGGAGAUUGAUGGAGUGCUAAAUUUAAGCUAUGAAAGUCUACCCUAUUAUUUGAAGUCAUGCUUUCUCUAUAUGGGUAUAUUUCAAGAGGAUGAAGAUAUAUAUGCUGACGAUCUAUAUAUGAUGUGGAUAGCACAAGGCAUGAUUUCUAUUGGAGACAAGGACAAAACUUUGAUGGAAAUUGCAGAGCUCUACUUGGGUGAGUUGGCCUCCAGGUCCAUCGUCCAAGUCGAAAUUUACGAUGGUGUCACACCUGGAAGAAGAUAUUCGAGCUGCAAACUUCAUGAUGUAGUAAGAGAACUGUGUUUGAAAUUGGGGAGAAGUGAGGAUUUUGGUGUGCAGAGUUUGGAGUAUCAAAGUGGGAAAGCUUCCUCGCAUAGGAAAAUACGGCAUUUGGCUAUACAUUUCAGGAAAGAAGUUCAAGUGGAACCUGACGAGCUUACAGUCACUUGGGGAGAAGAUAGUAGCGAACAUUUAAGGUCUCUUCAAAUGUUCAAUCACAUAGGUUCGGGUGUUAUUGUUGAGUUUCCCCCGCAAGGUAUCGUUGAUUUUCAGAAAUUCAAAUUGCUGAGA
RNAcentral lists this long non-coding RNA (15652 nucleotides) under Salvia miltiorrhiza (redroot sage). RNAcentral's name for it is "long non-coding RNA (SMIL_LNC006615)". Lineage: Eukaryota; Viridiplantae; Streptophyta; Magnoliopsida; Lamiales; Lamiaceae. The record is from RNAcentral.